GACGAACGCUGGCGGCGUGCUUAACACAUGCAAGUCGAACGGAAAGGCCCUGCUUUUGUGGGGUGCUCGAGUGGCGAACGGGUGAGUAACACGUGAGUAACCUGCCCUUGACUUUGGGAUAACUUCAGGAAACUGGGGCUAAUACCGGAUAGGAGCUCCUGCUGCAUGGUGGGGGUUGGAAAGUUUCGGCGGUUGGGGAUGGACUCGCGGCUUAUCAGCUUGUUGGUGGGGUAGUGGCUUACCAAGGCUUUGACGGGUAGCCGGCCUGAGAGGGUGACCGGCCACAUUGGGACUGAGAUACGGCCCAGACUCCUACGGGGGGCAGCAGUGGGGAAUAUUGCACAAUGGGCGGAAGCCUGAUGCAGCAACGCCGCGUGCGGGAUGACGGCCUUCGGGUUGUAAACCGCUUUCGCCUGUGACGAAGCGGGAGUGACGGUAAUGGGUAAAGAAGCACCGGCUAACUACGUG
Molecule: ribosomal RNA, 468 nt
Filed under: uncultured bacterium
Lineage: Bacteria
Description: partial 16S ribosomal RNA
Rfam family: Bacterial small subunit ribosomal RNA
Source: RNAcentral